RNAcentral lists this ribosomal RNA (253 nucleotides) under uncultured bacterium. Its description in RNAcentral is "partial 16S ribosomal RNA". It matches the Rfam family "Bacterial small subunit ribosomal RNA", at positions 524 to 776 of the family's 1533-position model. The record is from RNAcentral.
UACGAAGGGGGCUAGCGUUGCUCGGAAUCACUGGGCGUAAAGCGCAUGUAGGCGGCCUCUUAAGUCAGGGGUGAAAUCCUGGAGCUCAACUCCAGAACUGCCUUUGAUACUGGGAGCCUUGAGUUCGGGAGAGGUGAGUGGAACUGCGAGUGUAGAGGUGAAAUUCGUAGAUAUUCGCAAGAACACCAGUGGCGAAGGCGGCUCGCUGGCCCGAUACUGACGCUGAGGUGCGAAAGCGUGGGGAGCAAACAGG